Molecule: ribosomal RNA, 227 nt
Filed under: uncultured bacterium
Lineage: Bacteria
Description: partial 16S ribosomal RNA
Rfam family: Bacterial small subunit ribosomal RNA
Source: RNAcentral
GACGAACGCUGGCGGCGUGCUUAACACAUGCAAGUCGAACGGUGAUCCCCAGCUUGCUGGGGGUGAUCAGUGGCGAACGGGUGAGUAACACGUGAGCAACCUGCCCCCGACUCUGGGAUAGCCUCGGGAAACCGGGAUUAAUACCGGAUAUGACACUGCCAGGCAUCUGGUGGUGUGGAAAGUUCUUCGGUCGGGGAUGGGCUCGCGGCCUAUCAGCUUGUUGGUGA